This 497-nucleotide ribosomal RNA is filed under the name uncultured bacterium. Its description in RNAcentral is "partial 16S ribosomal RNA". It matches the Rfam family "Bacterial small subunit ribosomal RNA", at positions 28 to 507 of the family's 1533-position model. The record is from RNAcentral.
GAUGAACGCUGGCGGCGUGCCUAAUACAUGCAAGUCGAGCGAACGGACGAGAAGCUUGCUUCUCUGAUGUUAGCGGCGGACGGGUGAGUAACACGUGGAUAACGUACCUAUAAGACUGGGAUAACUUCGGGAAACCGGAGCUAAUACCGGAUAAUAUUUUGAACCGCAUGGUUCAAAAGUGAAAGACGGUCUUGCUGUCACUUAUAGAUGGAUCCGCGCUGCAUUAGCUAGUUGGUAAGGUAACGGCUUACCAAGGCAACGAUGCAUAGCCGACCUGAGAGGGUGAUCGGCCACACUGGAACUGAGGCACGGUCCAGACUCCUACGGGAGGCAGCAGUAGGGAAUCUUCCGCAAUGGGCGAAAGCCUGACGGAGCAACGCCGCGUGAGUGAUGAAGGUCUUCGGAUCGUAAAACUCUGUUAUUAGGGAAGAACAUAUGUGUAAGUAACUGUGCACAUCUUGACGGUACCUAAUCAGAAAGCCACGGCUAACUACGUG